CCUACGGGAGGCAGCAGUAAGGAAUAUUGGUCAAUGGAGGCAACUCUGAACCAGCCAUGCCGCGUGCAGGAAGACGGCCCUAUGGGUUGUAAACUGCUUUUAUCUGGGAAUAAACCUAUUUACGUGUAAGUAGCUGAAUGUACCAGAAGAAUAAGGAUCGGCUAACUCCGUGCCAGCAGCCGCGGUAAUACGGAGGAUCCAAGCGUUAUCCGGAUUUAUUGGGUUUAAAGGGUGCGUAGGCGGCAGUUUAAGUCAGAGGUGAAAGACGGUAGCUCAACUAUCGCAGUGCCUUUGAUACUGAAUUGCUUGAAUGAACUAGAGGUAGGCGGAAUGAGACAAGUAGCGGUGAAAUGCAUAGAUAUGUCUCAGAACACCGAUUGCGAAGGCAGCUUACUAUGGUUUUAUUGACGCUGAGGCACGAAAGCGUGGGGAUCAAACAGGAUUAGAUACCCUGGUAGUCCACGCCCUAAACGAUGAAUACUCGCUGUUAGCGAUAUACAGUUAGCGGCUAAGCGAAAAGCGUUAAAGUAUUUCCCUACCGUACGGGUAGGUACGACGUCGCGAAGAGUAGAACGUACGAAAGGAAAGUUAGUACGGACGUAGAGACGUUGCCGACGGACGACGACGAGGGAGGAGG
RNAcentral lists this ribosomal RNA (637 nucleotides) under uncultured bacterium. RNAcentral describes it as "bacterial SSU rRNA". The stretch from base 1 to 536 matches the Rfam family "Bacterial small subunit ribosomal RNA", at positions 338 to 873 of the family's 1533-position model. The record is from RNAcentral.